RNAcentral lists this ribosomal RNA (414 nucleotides) under uncultured bacterium. RNAcentral describes it as "bacterial SSU rRNA". It matches the Rfam family "Bacterial small subunit ribosomal RNA", at positions 355 to 767 of the family's 1533-position model. The record is from RNAcentral.
UAAGGAAUAUUGGUCAAUGGACGCAAGUCUGAACCAGCCAUGCCGCGUGAAGGAUGAAGGUCCUCUGGAUUGUAAACUUCUUUUAUCUGGGACGAAAACGGGAUUUUUAUCUCAAUUGACGGUACCAGAGGAAUAAGCACCGGCUAACUCCGUGCCAGCAGCCGCGGUAAUACGGAGGGUGCGAGCGUUAUCCGGAUUUACUGGGUUUAAAGGGUGCGUAGGUGGGCUUAUAAGUCAGUUGUGAAAUCUCCGAGCUUAACUUGGAAACUGCCGUUGNUACUAUAGGUCUUGAAUUAUCUGGAGGUAAGCGGAAUAUGUCAUGUAGCGGUGAAAUGCUUAGAUAUGACAUAGAACACCAAUUGCGAAGGCAGCUUACUACAUAUAAAUUGACGCUGAGGCACGAAAGCGUGGGGA